Molecule: ribosomal RNA, 542 nt
Filed under: uncultured bacterium
Lineage: Bacteria
Description: bacterial SSU rRNA
Rfam family: Bacterial small subunit ribosomal RNA
Source: RNAcentral
AGGGUUUGAUUAUGGCUCAGAACGAACGCUGGCGGCAUGCCUAACACAUGCAAGUCGAACGCUUGUCCGGUUUCGGCCGGACGGGAGUGGCGCACGGGUGAGUAGCGCGUGGGAACCUGCCCUGUUGUGGGGGAUAACCGAGGGAAACUUCGGCUAAUACCGCAUGCGCCCCGGAGCAAUCCGGGGGAAAGAUUUAUCGCAGCAGGAGGGGCCCGCGUCGGAUUAGCUAGUUGGUGGGGUAACGGCCCACCAAGGCAGUGAUCCGUAGCUGGUCUGAGAGGAUGAUCAGCCACACUGGGACUGAGACACGGCCCAGACUCCUACGGGAGGCAGCAGUGGGGAAUAUUGGACAAUGGGCGCAAGCCUGAUCCAGCAAUGCCGCGUGAGUGAUGAAGGCCUUAGGGUUGUAAAGCUCUUUCGCCCGCGACGAUGAUGACGGUAGCGGGAGAAGAAGCCCCGGCUAACUUCGUGCCAGCAGCCGCGGUAAUACGAAGGGGGCGAGCGUUGUUCGGAUUUACUGGGCGUAAAGGGCGCGUAGGCGG